GGCCUUGACAUACUAAGAACUUUCCAGAGAUGGAUUGGUGCCUUCGGGAACUUAGAUACAGGUGCUGCAUGGCUGUCGUCAGCUCGUGUCGUGAGAUGUUGGUUAAGUCCGCAACGAGCGCAACCCUUUUCCUUAUUUGCCAGCGGGUAAUGCCGGGAACUUUAAGGAUACUGCCAGUGACAAACUGGAGGAAGGCGGGGACGACGUCAAGUCAUCAUGGCCCUUACGGCCAGGGCUACACACGUGCUACAAUGGUCGGUACAAAGGGUUGCUACCUCGCGAGAGGAUGCUAAUCUCAAAAAGCCGAUCGUAGUCCGGAUCGCAGUCUGCAACUCGACUGCGUGAAGUCGGAAUCGCUAGUAAUCGCGGAUCAGAAUGCCGCGGUGAAUACGUUCCCGGGCCUUGUACACACCGCCCGUCACACCAUGGGAGUUUGUUGCACCAGAAGUAGGUAGUCUAACCGCAAGGAGGACGCUUACCACGGUGUGGCCGAUGACUGGGGUGAAGUCGUAACAAGGUAGGCGUAGAUGA
RNAcentral lists this ribosomal RNA (531 nucleotides) under uncultured bacterium. Its description in RNAcentral is "bacterial SSU rRNA". It matches the Rfam family "Bacterial small subunit ribosomal RNA", at positions 977 to 1509 of the family's 1533-position model. The record is from RNAcentral.